GGUUAAGCGACUAAGCGUACACGGUGGAUGCCCUGGCAGUCAGAGGCGAUGAAGGGCGUGCUAAUCUGCGAUAAGCGCCGGUAAGGUGAUAUGAACCGUUAUAACCGGCGAUACCCGAAUGGGGAAACCCAGUGUGAUUCGUCACACUAUCAUUAACUGAAUCCAUAGGUUAAUGAGGCGAACCGGGGGAACUGAAACAUCUAAGUACCCCGAGGAAAAGAAAUCAACCGAGAUUCCCCCAGUAGCGGCGAGCGAACGGGGAGGAGCCCAGAGCCUGAAUCAGCAUGUGUGUUAGUGGAAGCGUCUGGAAAGGCGCGCGAUACAGGGUGACAGCCCCGUACACAAAAGCGCAUGUGCUGUGAGCUCGAUGAGUAGGGCGGGACACGUGGUAUCCUGUCUGAAUAUGGGGGGACCAUCCUCCAAGGCUAAAUACUCCUGACUGACCGAUAGUGAACCAGUACCGUGAGGGAAAGGCGAAAAGAACCCCGGCGAGGGGAGUGAAAAAGAACCUGAAACCGUGUACGUACAAGCAGUGGGAGCACCCUUUGGGUGUGACUGCGUACCUUUUGUAUAAUGGGUCAGCGACUUAUAUUCUGUAGCAAGGUUAACCGAAUAGGGGAGCCGGAGGGAAACCGAGUCUUAACCGGGCGUUAAGUUGCAGGGUAUAGACCCGAAACCCGGUGAUCUAGCCAUGGGCAGGUUGAAGGUUGGGUAACACUAACUGGAGGACCGAACCGACUAAUGUUGAAAAAUUAGCGGAUGACCUGUGGCUGGGGGUGAAAGGCCAAUCAAACCGGGAGAUAGCUGGUUCUCCCCGAAAGCUAUUUAGGUAGCGCCUCGUGAAUUCAUCUCCGGGGGUAGAGCACUGUUUCGGCUAGGGGGCCAUCCCGGCUUACCAACCCGAUGCAAACUGCGAAUACCGGAGAAUGUUAUCACGGGAGACACACGGCGGGUGCUAACGUCCGUCGUGAAGAGGGAAACAACCCAGACCGCCAGCUAAGGUCCCAAAGUCAUGGUUAAGUGGGAAACGAUGUGGGAAGGCCCAGACAGCCAGGAUGUUGGCUUAGAAGCAGCCAUCAUUUAAAGAAAGCGUAAUAGCUCACUGGUCGAGUCGGCCUGCGCGGAAGAUGUAACGGGGCUAAACCAUGCACCGAAGCUGCGGCAGCGACACUGUGUGUUGUUGGGUAGGGGAGCGUUCUGUAAGCCUGUGAAGGUGUGUCGUGAGGCAUGCUGGAGGUAUCAGAAGUGCGAAUGCUGACAUAAGUAACGAUAAAGCGGGUGAAAAGCCCGCUCGCCGGAAGACCAAGGGUUCCUGUCCAACGUUAAUCGGGGCAGGGUGAGUCGACCCCUAAGGCGAGGCCGAAAGGCGUAGUCGAUGGGAAACGGGUUAAUAUUCCCGUACUUGGUGUUACUGCGAAGGGGGGACGGAGAAGGCUAUGUUGGCCGGGCGACGGUUGUCCCGGUUUAAGCGUGUAGGUGUGUGUUCCAGGUAAAUCCGGUUCACUUUAACACUGAGGCGUGACGACGAGGCACUACGGUGCUGAAGCAACAAAUGCCCUGCUUCCAGGAAAAGCCUCUAAGCAUCAGGUAACAUCAAAUCGUACCCCAAACCGACACAGGUGGUCAGGUAGAGAAUACCAAGGCGCUUGAGAGAACUCGGGUGAAGGAACUAGGCAAAAUGGUGCCGUAACUUCGGGAGAAGGCACGCUGACACGUAGGUGAAGUGAUUUACUCAUGGAGCUGAA
Molecule: ribosomal RNA, 1745 nt
Filed under: Salmonella enterica
Lineage: Bacteria; Pseudomonadati; Pseudomonadota; Gammaproteobacteria; Enterobacterales; Enterobacteriaceae
Description: partial 23S ribosomal RNA
Rfam family: Bacterial large subunit ribosomal RNA
Source: RNAcentral